AACGAACGCUGGCGGCGUGGAUAAGACAUGCAAGUCGAACGCUGAUUUCAGGGUAGCAAUAUUUUGAAGUCGGAGUGGCGCAAGGGUGCGUAACACGUGGGUAAUCUGCCGUGAAGUUGGGGGAUAACUUGCUGAAAGGCGAGCUAAUACCGGAUGUGAAAAUUAGGAGGCAUCUCUCGAUUUUCAAAGUUGGGGACCGUAAGGCCUGACGCUUCAUGAUGAGCCCGCGGCCUAUCAGCUAGUUGGUGAGGUAAUGGCUCACCAAGGCUAAGACGGGUAGCUGGUCUGAGAGGACGACCAGCCUCACUGGAACUGAGACACGGUCCAGACACCUACGGGUGGCAGCAGUCGAGAAUUUUUCACAAUGGGCGAAAGCCUGAUGGAGCGACGCCGCGUGGGGGAUGAAGGGCUUCGGCCCGUAAACCUCUGUCAUUUGCGAACAAACCUUUCCACCUAACACUUGGAGAGCUGAUUGUAGCGAAAGAGGAAGGGACGGCUAACUCUGUGCCAGCAGCCGCGGUAAUACAGAGGUCCCAAGCGUUGUUCGGAUUCACUGGGCGUAAAGGGUGCGUAGGCGGUCGGAUAAGUCUGAUGUGAAAUCUCCGAGCUCAACUCGGAAAUGGCAUUGGAUACUAUUCGGCUGGAGGGUUGGAGGGGGGACUGGAAUACUUGGUGUAGCAGUGAAAUGCGUAGAUAUCAAGUGGAACACCAGUGGCGAAGGCGAGUCCCUGGACAACUCCUGACACUGAGGCACGAAAGCUAG
Molecule: ribosomal RNA, 763 nt
Filed under: uncultured soil bacterium
Lineage: Bacteria
Description: bacterial SSU rRNA
Rfam family: Bacterial small subunit ribosomal RNA
Source: RNAcentral